This 468-nucleotide ribosomal RNA is filed under the name uncultured bacterium. Its description in RNAcentral is "partial 16S ribosomal RNA". It matches the Rfam family "Bacterial small subunit ribosomal RNA", at positions 28 to 507 of the family's 1533-position model. The record is from RNAcentral.
GACGAACGCUGGCGGCGUGCUUAACACAUGCAAGUCGAACGGACAGGCCCUGAUUUUGUGGGGUGCUCGAGUGGCGCACGGGUGAGUAACACGUGAGUAUCCUGCACUUGUCUUUGGGAUAACUUCAGGAAACUGGGGCUCAUAUCGGAUAUGAGCUACUGCUGCAUGGUGGGGGAUGGAAAGUUUCGGCGGUUGUGGAUCGACUAGCGGCUUAUCCGCUUGUUGGUGGGGUAGUGGCUGACCAAGGCUUUGACGGGUAGCCGGCAUGAGAGGGGGACCGGCCACAUUGGGACUGAGAUACGGCGCAGACGCCUACGGGAGGCAGCAGUGGGGAAUAUUGCACAAUGGGCGGAAGCCUGAUGCAGCAACGCCGCGUGCGGGAUGACGGCCUUCGAGUUGUAAACCGCUGUCGCCGGUAACGAAGCGUGAGUGACGGUAAUGGGUAAAGAAGCACCGGCUAACUACGUG